This 432-nucleotide ribosomal RNA is filed under the name uncultured bacterium. RNAcentral's name for it is "partial 16S ribosomal RNA". It matches the Rfam family "Bacterial small subunit ribosomal RNA", at positions 29 to 507 of the family's 1533-position model. The record is from RNAcentral.
ACGAACGCUGGCGGCCUGCCUAACCCAUGCCAGUCGAACGCGACCUUCGGGUCUAGUGGCGCACGGGUGCGUAACGCGUGGGAACCUGCCCUUAGGUUCGGAAUAACUCCCCGAAAGGGGUGCUAAUACCGGAUAAUGUCUUCGGACCAAAGAUUUAUCGCCUUUGGAUGGGCCCGCGUUGGAUUAGCUAGUUGGUAGGGUAAAAGCCUACCAAGGCGACGAUCCAUAGCUGGUCUGAGAGGAUGAUCGGCCACACUGGGACUGAGACACGGCCCAGACUCCUACGGGAGGCAGCAGUGGGGAAUAUUGGACAAUGGGCGAAAGCCUGAUCCAGCAAUGCCGCGUGAGUGAUGAAGGCCUUAGGGUUGUAAAGCUCUUUUACCCGGGAUGAUAAUGACAGUACCGGGAGAAUAAGCUCCGGCUAACUCCGUG